This 352-nucleotide ribosomal RNA is filed under the name Salmonella enterica. RNAcentral describes it as "bacterial SSU rRNA". It matches the Rfam family "Bacterial small subunit ribosomal RNA", at positions 1 to 347 of the family's 1533-position model. Lineage: Bacteria; Pseudomonadati; Pseudomonadota; Gammaproteobacteria; Enterobacterales; Enterobacteriaceae. The record is from RNAcentral. RNAcentral also lists the same sequence under 2 other names.
UUAAAUUGAAGAGUUUGAUCAUGGCUCAGAUUGAACGCUGGCGGCAGGCCUAACACAUGCAAGUCGAACGGUAACAGGAAGCAGCUUGCUGCUUUGCUGACGAGUGGCGGACGGGUGAGUAAUGUCUGGGAAACUGCCUGAUGGAGGGGGAUAACUACUGGAAACGGUGGCUAAUACCGCAUAACGUCGCAAGACCAAAGAGGGGGACCUUCGGGCCUCUUGCCAUCAGAUGUGCCCAGAUGGGAUUAGCUUGUUGGUGAGGUAACGGCUCACCAAGGCGACGAUCCCUAGCUGGUCUGAGAGGAUGACCAGCCACACUGGAACUGAGACACGGUCCAGACUCCUACGGGAG